AUAUAUAACAUUAAAAUAUUAAACCUAAAACAAGAAUGGAGAUGUAGGAGUGUGGUGACGGCGGCGAUUUCCAACACAAGAAAAACAAAAAGUUCAGGUAAAAAAAAAGGGAAAAAAUAAAAAGCGAAAGCUAGAUAGAAAGAGUACAAAUGUGUGAGAGGGAGAGUGAUGACGGAAGACUUCCUGUACAUGGAUGGCCUUGCCAGAGUGGCUUGCAGAGGGGUGUGGUGAUCGAUUGACGAAGGCGCAUGCAGUCAAUCAGAGAUGGCGGUGGCAGCGGCUGUAUGUGGUCCGGAAACAGAAGCAGUGGUCUUAUACCGUCGCUUCCCCCUUUUUAGUGAUUUUCGUCUUCAAUUUAUCGCCUUAUGUGAUGAAUCUGAGUGUCUAUGAGAUAAACCUAACACAAGAAUGGAGAUGUAGUAGUGUGGUGAUGGCGGCGAUUUCCAACAGGAGAAAAACAAAAAGUUCAGAUAAAAAAAAAAGGAAAAAAAAAAAGAAGAGAAAGCUAGAUAAAAAGAGUACAAAUGUGUGAGAGGGAGAGUGAUGACGGAAGACUUCCUGUACAGGGAUGACCUUGCCGGAGUGGCUUGCAGAGGGGUGUGGUGAUCGAUUGAAGAAGGCGCAUGCAGUCAAUCGGAGAUGGCGGUGGCGGCGGCGGUAUGUGGUCCAGAAACAGAAGCAGUGGUCUUAUACCGUCGGCAGUAAAAUUCCUCCCUUUUCUUUUUCUAUGGUUUCUUUGAUUUUUGUUGAAUAUUUUAAUUGAAAUAGUUUUUCUGAUGAGAUACAAGAAUCAGUUUGAUUUUUAUGUUUUACUUUUCUGGAUUUUUGCUUUCAUAGUGGAUGAUAUUUGUAGAUGUAUUGAAAAAAAUAAAACGUAUUGGGUUUCUAAA
Molecule: long non-coding RNA, 890 nt
Organism: Cicer arietinum (chickpea)
Lineage: Eukaryota; Viridiplantae; Streptophyta; Magnoliopsida; Fabales; Fabaceae
Source: RefSeq, a predicted model, not a curated record